This 253-nucleotide ribosomal RNA is filed under the name uncultured bacterium. Its description in RNAcentral is "partial 16S ribosomal RNA". It matches the Rfam family "Bacterial small subunit ribosomal RNA", at positions 524 to 776 of the family's 1533-position model. The record is from RNAcentral.
UACGAAGGGGGCUAGCGUUGCUCGGAAUUACUGGGCGUAAAGCGCACGUAGGCGGCUCUUUAAGUCGGGGGUAAAAUCCUGGAGCUCAACUCCAGAACUGCCUUCGAUACUGUAGAGCUUGAGUUCGGGAGAGGUGAGUGGAACUGCGAGUGUAGAGGUGAAAUUCGUAGAUAUUCGCAAGAACACCAGUGGCGAAGGCGGCUCACUGGCCCGAUACUGACGCUGAGGUGCGAAAGCGUGGGGAGCAAACAGG